AAUUAAAUGUAAGUUUCAUAAAUCUUCAUCGAUUUUUAGAGAUUUAAAAAAAAGAAAUCUCUUUAUUGGAGAUUAAAUGCCAUUUUUAUUAGCUAGAUAUAGGAAUUUUAAAAGGACACGAGCUCUGUUUGGAGACACAUUCCAUUUUUGUUGUUGUGUAGCGAAAAACUACCUAUUCAAACGUCAAGCAGGACUGAUGUCUUCGUCAAAGCCCUCAUUUUCUCGAAGUCUGCAGAGUGCAUUUUUUUCUUCUGCCAUCAUUCAGAAUGCUUCUCUAAGACAAAGAAAUGUUGGUAACCAUUUUCAAAACUCGACGGGAAAUCCUUUAAGGUUGGAUGAUGGCCAAAAAUCAUUUGGCAACUAAUUCUCUGCACUUUCGCUCUCUUUCUCUUAUAAACCGAGCGUGACAUUAUCGGUUAUAUUUCGUCACCUAACAUUGCAGUGUACAGUGGCAUCUACUCUAAUGCACUAGUAAAAGCGAGAAGUUGAAAGAUGUAGUUUUUCUACAUUAAUGGUAGAAUGUGAGACAAAAGGAGUAAUUACUGCUGCUACAUGGCACAACUAAUGAUUUGCGUCAACAAUUUCUUGUCUCUCACUCUGUUUGUGUCUUAAUGACUUUAUCUAUUCUUUCUUUUUCUUCUUUUAUUUUUUUAAUUAGAUAUUUAACUUUAAACGUAUUUUUUUUUAAUUUAAAUAACCGAAAAAAUUGUAGACAAACAUGCUCCAUUCGAAAUUCUUCCACGUUAGUAGUCACUAGAAAUGCAGUGAUUGGACAAUAAAUCACGAAGUUUCGUGACACGUGAUAGUACCCACACCGGGUACAAAAUACAGAACACCUGUUAGGCGUGUCGGGCAUGCGCAGUCACGAACGUAUGAUAUUCUGAUCACGUGUCAGAUUAAUUCUCUAGAAUCUCUUAGAUUGAAAGACCCUUUUUCAUUUCUGUCUCUUCUCUAGAUCGAUAGCGCAGUGACUGGGUCUUAUUACCGAGCGAUAUGUUUCUUUAAUUUGCACAUUUUUAUAUAAGUCUGAGAUUUUUUUUCGCUCUAUCUCUGCCAUCUAAAUGGUUCCAUCUCACUCCGAUUUAGCAUUUGAUGCUAUAACUUCAUAUGCAAAUCUCUCGUUUAGAUGAUUAUCUCUCUCUGCUAUCAGUCGAGUUAAGAAGUUGUAUCAGUUUUUAAUGUUACCAGCUCCGUUUAGAAAUGUUGUUCUCUUCAAAAAAUAUAUUUUUUCGGGAAUCAAUCUUCUAUUGAAAAUUCGAAAAUUCCAUCUUUUUGAUUUGAAUAUUCUGUUCACUUUGCCAUUACAGAAUAAACACGUUUGUCAGAUUUUUUGAUAUUCUUUAUACGAUAAAAUAUUCUUAAAAAUAUAUAUAUAUAUAUAUAUUAUUUUUUUUUCCGGCACAUUUUCAUUUAUGCGCCUGAAAAUCGACUUUUCCUUCAUGAUACGGGUAUAAUACGGAGAAGUACUUCGGGCAUUUUCUUUCAAAAAGAUGACAGCUGUCGUUGUCAUAUACGGUUACUUCAUUCGUAAAUGCGAUCUGAAAAGUGGUGUUUUCAUAAAUAUAAAAUUUUAAAAAUAUUUUAAUAGUUUUUUUUCCCGUCAGUGAAUUUAUAUAUUUAAUUAGUCGAGAUACUUCUAAAUGGUUUCUAGAGUAAUAAACGAUGUUUAUGUUUCGAAAUUAUAUACUUCCCAGCCUGUUAACCUAUUGGUUUAACUGCUGUAAUAAUUAUAACGUACCUUAAUUAAGAUAUUGCCAUAACCUGGAAUUAUUUAAAUUUAAAAAAAAAUUUUGGGGGAAAUAUAUAAAAAUUUUAAAAAUUUUUAUAAGUUUGAACAUAUUACUUCAUUAAAACUAAUUUAUUACUUCGAAAAUUUACGUUUUAUAUAAUUUUAAUUUGUUACUCUCUCCCCCCUCCAGAAAAAUUGUAAUAAUAAUAAAAAUAAAAAUUUCGUUCACUUUUGUGGCUCGAAAUUUUUAUUUGAAGACUAGCACAGAGACCUAUAACUCAGAAAUUCUCGUUUAUAUUUAAAGUUUCUCGUAACUUUAGAAGAGAUACAACUUCGAAGCAUAAAAGUAAUUUCGAUUUAUCUCGAACCUGACCGAAUUGGCUCCGGAAACAAUGCAGAUUCGAAGCAACUCCAUUUGUAGAUAGUUCUUAAUACGUUCAGAAUUCUAAAACUUUAUGACAGACCAAAAUAAGUUUGGCCUAUAAUCUCUCUUAAAAAUAUAUAUAUAUGUUAUAUAUAUAUAGAAAAAACAAAACAAAAAAAUUCAAUCUGUUUACUUAGUUUCGCCGCUUUCUGUCUCUCUCUCUUUCCUAUAAGUUUUGUUUAUCUAACGGAAUUUUUCCAAUCUCGACUUUCAAAUCCUUUACGCUUUUUCUCUGUGCAAUCACACAAGACCAAUCUUACCUUGAAACAAUAGUAUUUGGGAUGAAUCCUAUUCAAUCCCCUUUCAAAGAGAUCGAAGGAAACAGAAGGUACUUCAGAUAUUGAAGCACCCGAAAAAUAUUGGCAAGAUAGAUAAAACUCGGUGAAUACGGGUUUCCAUGAAGAAGCUCCGCAGAAUUCGGUCGAAUGCAAUAUGUUUGGUCGUGUUUAGACCUCCUACCGUGAAUUCUAGCUCUUCCACAUUGAAGACACCAAUAGCUUUAUUGCAACAGUAUCUAUUGUCCAAAAUAUAUUUUCCCCAUUCAGCCUCGAUAGUAUCUCCACAAUACGAAUUUUUUUUUUUUUUCUAAACACCAAUGAAAAAUCUUUUACACCUACAAUCGCCUAUUUUCUUCGCACCUAUUUCAAAUGAGAUUCGAUUUUAUAUCUCUUAAAUAUAAACUGUCAUCCUAUAUAAACAGACAACAAACACACACGGACAUAUACACAAUUUUUUCUCGUUUUUCUUAGAUGAUCUAUGGAUUCAUCAUUUUUCUUAAAAAAAAUAGCUAAAAGAUAUGAUUUUCAAAUGACGUAAAUUCGAUCGCGUCUCUAGGAAAAUUUAUUUUCUGCUGAGAUAAGGUGAAAUUGUAUUUUCAUUCUAUUCAAAACGAUUUUUGCUCGCCAAGUAAUAAGUUUCUGUGACGUAAACCUGUUCUGUUUCGUUUGUGUCGGAAUUUUUCAUUCCCCUUUUGCUGUUUUCUAAUUAAUCUAGACACGUUACCUAGCAUAACAGAAAAUUACAUUAUUAUGUUAUGGAAACGGAUUACAAGAAAUUUUAUAUAGUUACGUCACAGAAACGGAUUACAACAGACAUUGUUUCGUUACUGAACCUUAUUACACCGAACAGAUCCACGUUACGUGUCUUAAUACCGCAUUGUUACGUCAGUCAAACGUUGUGUUGAAUUGUAUUGUCUAGUUUCUGUUAAUUAACAUCAGUUAUUAUUACGACACAUUGACGUAAGAAUGCUCGUAAUCAAAUUUUAUUACGUAAUUCUUUAAACGAAUUUACGUCGUUUUAACAGCAUCGAUUAGGAAUAAAAAAAAGGAAG
RNAcentral lists this long non-coding RNA (3483 nucleotides) under Androctonus crassicauda. The record is from RNAcentral. Lineage: Eukaryota; Metazoa; Arthropoda; Arachnida; Scorpiones; Buthidae.